GAGACACCCUUAUGGGGCAGGACUUGCUUCAGUGGGGCUUUGGUGCUCACUGAGUCUGCCCCCUGAGUGUGCACU
Non-coding RNA from Myotis lucifugus (little brown bat), 75 nucleotides. The record is from Rfam. Lineage: Eukaryota; Metazoa; Chordata; Mammalia; Chiroptera; Vespertilionidae.